UCGUCUAUCAGUUUUUGAAGAUUUUUUUUUAUUUAUCAUAUAACUUUUAUUUAAAAAAAUUCUUUUCUUUGUAAUUAUUAGCAGAAUACUCUGUUUGUAAAUCUCCUCGAUAUUCUUUCAAAUUUAUAUUCUUCUGCUACAUUGCGUGAUCCUUAAAUUUCUCUUAAAUAGUACAGCAUCUAUUCAAAUUUUUCUUAUAAAUGAAAAUAACUUUUCUUCGAUUAUCAUUCUCAAUUUCAUCUGAUCUUGUUAUGGUAAAGCAAAGGAUGUUCUACAUGGACAACUAUAUACGUAGAUGAGAAGCACGCAUUUCUAGCGGUACACACACAGACGAAGAGCAUGGACAGCCGAUAAGAUGGACGGAUAGCUGUUGUGAUGUUCCUCUCACUUUUUCCAAGUUAAGAACGAGUCUGGACGAUUUAUGCCCCGAAUUAGAACGCGAACCCUGCCUCACCAUAUUUUUUGAUUGCACUUUGUCGAACGUAAACGAUGCGCAUUGCACGGGGUUUACCGAAGAAGAAAAUCCUGAAUUAUGUUUCAUACGAGCAAGUAGAUACUCGUUGCUUUUAAUUGGUAACGGAUUGCCUAGGAUAUCCGGAAGGAAUAUGAGAACGACGAAACACUUACAAUUACUGAAGGACUGUGCAGACAUGGAAAAAGUAAAUUUAUGCGUGGGAAAAGUUGUACGAGAUGGAAGGGAGGUUGUACGAGUGGUGUAGAUUGGUUGAGCAGCAUCGUGAGCGCGAGAAAAGAAAGAUGAGCACAGGAGACGAGAAAUGUAGGUGCAAU
This 789-nucleotide unclassified non-coding RNA is filed under the name Bombus terrestris (buff-tailed bumblebee). RNAcentral describes it as "misc RNA ENSBTSG00005026706.1". Lineage: Eukaryota; Metazoa; Arthropoda; Insecta; Hymenoptera; Apidae. The record is from RNAcentral.